AGGUCUCCUUCCUCACAGCUCCAACGCCCUGUGCCUGCCGGCAGAAGCCAUGGGGGUUGACAGGGAGCAACCAGAAGGGGACACCAUGGAAGUCUGCUCUGCACAUACAGUGUCCCCUGCAGAGCCCACAGGGGAGCGGCCAAGGCCCAGACACAGAAUUCCUUCCACCAUCUGUUUUGGCCAAGGAGCAUUGCGAGGAUUUAAAAGCACCAAGAAAAGGACUAAACACUGAUGGUUGAGACAGAAACACCGAGGUCUGGUGACAGCCUGGGGUCAGCAGCCAAGCUCUCUUAAGUGUCCUGGGUGGGCAUCUUUGUGUCUUCACCAGGGAGGUAAAGGCGAGAAGCAGCAAAGCGCCCCAAGCCUUUGGGAACCCCAGUCAUGCGGAGCCAGCCAGGAGGGUCUCAAGUGAGGACAUGAGUUCGUAUGGGAGCUGGGAGCUAUGUCUGUUUUCAGCCAUGUGAUGGCAAAAUGUUCAGGGCAUCUUAGAGCCUGGAGUCCUGGGCAGGGCCACUCUACUCUGAGGAGUAAUGCUGAGAAAGGCCCGUGGCCAUCUUACAAGUCCUGUCUGUCCACACAGCUCAUCUGACGCCCACACAGGUGGGGAAGGGGCUUAGCUGUGAGCAACAUAUACAUGAGAAUACAGGCUUGCCACUAACCCUCACCUGCUGCUCACCACAGCUGCAAGUUCUGGGUAUGAAAUAGGACAGGUGACACCAGGCUGCGCUAGGACCAGCUUCACAGAUCUCCAGCCACAGUUGUAUUUUAGGGCUCCCUGCCCCAGAAAUUUGGACCCACCCCACUGAAAGGUCCAUAGGUAGAUGUGGAUCCCCAACAGGCUGCUACAGUCACUGGUGGGGACUGUAGUGGACAAGACAAAGUACUCCCCUGCAAGGCCAGAAAGGUUCCUCAGAGUAAAGCAGGAAUAAAGGCUGAGGGAAGAAUCCCAGGACUGCCUGAGUCCAAGCUCAUUCCCUGCCCAAACAUUAGUCACAGGAUGUCCCGGCAGAGAAAGUAGGGGAAACAUUUUGGAACGCCAACCUGCUGCUCUCCAUCCUCAUGUCGCCUAGAUCUCAAUGCCUAUGUAUGCCCUUAGCUCUCCUCCCUCUGGAGACACCAGUCUCCUGGCACGCACCUCACUCCUGACUUUCUUCCAAUAAAAGGUGUUUGCUUUCCUUUGG
Molecule: long non-coding RNA, 1181 nt
Organism: Suncus etruscus (white-toothed pygmy shrew)
Lineage: Eukaryota; Metazoa; Chordata; Mammalia; Eulipotyphla; Soricidae
Exons: 2
Source: RefSeq, a predicted model, not a curated record